Molecule: unclassified non-coding RNA, 326 nt
Filed under: Hevea brasiliensis (rubber tree)
Lineage: Eukaryota; Viridiplantae; Streptophyta; Magnoliopsida; Malpighiales; Euphorbiaceae
Source: RNAcentral
GAAAAUGUAGGGAAAGAAAUUUUUAACUUAUGUUUGGAUGGGAGAAAACUAGAAGGAAACAAGAAGUGAUGAAAAAGUUGUUAUCUCCUGGUAAAUUUAUUGAAGUAUUGCAAUUGAAAUUUACAAUUUUAUCCUUUUAUGAAGUUACAUUUCGAGGACAAGAAAUUUACAUCGAAAGGAGCACUUUCCUCUCUCAUAAACUCCAAAUUAAUGACAUUUGUUUACCCGAGAAGAAAAUUUAUGGUUAGUUUCUUUCUUCCUAUUUUCCCUUUCUUUCCUCAAAAAGGAAAAUGUCAUUUCCAAGUUAUUUUCUUUCCUCCCAUUUU